UACGUAGGUGGCGAGCGUUGUCCGGAAUUACUGGGUGUAAAGGGCGUGUAGGCGGGAAAAUAAGUCAGAUGUGAAAUUCCACGGCUUAACUGUGGCGCUGCAUCUGAAACUAUUUUUCUUGAGUGCUGGAGAGGAAAGCGGAAUUCCUAGUGUAGCGGUGAAAUGCGUAGAUAUUAGGAGGAACACCAGUGGCGAAGGCGGCUUUCUGGACAGUAACUGACGCUGAGGCGCGAAAGCGUGGGGAGCAAACAGG
RNAcentral lists this ribosomal RNA (253 nucleotides) under uncultured bacterium. RNAcentral describes it as "partial 16S ribosomal RNA". It matches the Rfam family "Bacterial small subunit ribosomal RNA", at positions 524 to 776 of the family's 1533-position model. The record is from RNAcentral.